RNAcentral lists this transfer RNA (72 nucleotides) under Patulibacter sp. RNAcentral's name for it is "tRNA-Gly". It matches the Rfam family "tRNA". From Rfam's summary of the family: Transfer RNA (tRNA) molecules are approximately 80 nucleotides in length. Their secondary structure includes four short double-helical elements and three loops (D, anti-codon, and T loops). Further hydrogen bonds mediate the characteristic L-shaped molecular structure. tRNAs have two regions of fundamental functional importance: the anti-codon, which is responsible for specific mRNA codon recognition, and the 3' end, to which the tRNAs corresponding amino acid is attached (by aminoacyl-tRNA synthetases). tRNAs cope with the degeneracy of the genetic code in two manners: having more than one tRNA (with a specific anti-codon) for a particular amino acid; and 'wobble' base-pairing, i.e. permitting non-standard base-pairing at the 3rd anti-codon position. RNAcentral also lists the same sequence under 1 other name. The record is from RNAcentral. Lineage: Bacteria; Bacillati; Actinomycetota; Thermoleophilia; Solirubrobacterales; Patulibacteraceae.
GCGGGCGAGGUGUUAACGGUUGCACACGAGCCUUCCAAGCUCAUGGAGCGGGUUCGAGUCCCGUCGCCCGCU